UACGGAGGAUGCAAGCGUUAUCCGGAAUGAUUGGGCGUAAAGCGUCCGCAGGUGGCCAUUCAAGUCUGCUGUUAAAGGUCGGGGCUCAACUCCGGAUAGGCGGUGGAAACUGAAUAGCUAGAGUGCGGUAGGGGUAGAGGGAAUUCCCAGUGUAGCGGUGAAAUGCGUAGAGAUUGGGAAGAACACCGGUGGCGAAAGCGCUCUACUGGACCGCAACUGACACUCAGGGACGAAAGCUAGGGGAGCGAAUGGG
This 253-nucleotide ribosomal RNA is filed under the name uncultured bacterium. RNAcentral describes it as "partial 16S ribosomal RNA". It matches the Rfam family "Bacterial small subunit ribosomal RNA", at positions 524 to 776 of the family's 1533-position model. The record is from RNAcentral.